AGGAUAUUAUUUAGGUUGUUUGGAAGAGGAUUAUUAAUUAAAGUAAUUUUAGGAUGUAUAUAUUAGUAUAGUUUAUAGAACUUAUGAAGUGGAUUAUAGAGUAGUAGUACUGUAGAGGGAAUAUGAAAUAGAUGAAAUAGUUAUUGGAAUAGAAGAAGAAUGUAAUUUGUACCUUGGGUAUCAGGGUUUAUUAAUUAAUGAUAGUGAUUUUAUAAUUCUCGAAUUAAAAAGAGUUAAAGUAGUAAGGUAGUUAAUGUAUUAUUAUUAUUGGAAAUACUAUUUUAGAAAUGAAAUGUUAGACGUUUUUUAAGUUAUCUAGUUUUCUAAGAGAUGAAUUUAAUUCAUGUUAUUGGGAGUAAAUAUUAAUUUAAAGUUAAUGAUUUAUUUUUAGUAACAAAUAUAUAAAGGGAUAAGCUUUUGUAUAAGUAUUAAAAAUUAUAAGAGAUUACAAGAAGUAGUAGACUUUAAAUUAGUCAUCUAUGAGAUAAUGUUAUAAAUUGUUUUGUAAAUAAGGUGAUUUUUUAAUAGUUUUAAAUUAUUUAUUAGGAUAUUAUAUUAAAUGGAUUAAUUUAAGUAAUGAUGAUAAAAUGAGUAUAUAUAAUUGUUUAUUAAAAUUUAUAUGGGAAUUUGUAAUAAGGAACUAGGCAAUUUAUCACUCGCCUGUUUAUCAAAAACAUCUCUUUUUGGUUUAAUAUAAGGUAGGGCCUGCCCACUGAAGUAUUUUGAAGGGCCGCGGUAUUAUGACCGUGCAAAGGUAGCAUAAUCAUUAGUCUUUUAAUUGAAGGCUGGAAUGAAUGGUUUGACGAGGUGAUAGCUGUCUCAUUAUAAUAUGUAGAAGUUAACUUUUAAGUUAAAAGGCUUAAAUUUUAAUGGAGGACGAGAAGACCCUAUAGAGCUUUAUACAUAGAUUUAAGUUUGUGUUUAGAAGUAUUUAAGAGUUUAGAUUGACUGUAUUGUGUUGGGGUGACAUAAAGAUAGAAUUAACUCUUUAUUUUAAGUACAUUGAUAUAUGGGUGUUUGAUCCAUUUUUAGUGAUCGUAAGAUAAAGUUACCUUAGGGAUAACAGCGUAAUUUCUCUUGAGAGUUCAUAUCAACAGAGAAGAUUGCGACCUCGAUGUUGGAUUAAGGAAUAGGGUUAGAUGUAGCAGUUUAAUUAAUGGGUCUGUUCGACCCUUAAAUCCUUACAUGAUCUGAGUUCAGACCGGUGUAAGCCAGGUCGGUUUCUAUCCUUAUUGUAUUUUUAUGCUUUAGUACGAAAGGACCAGGUAUAGUAAAUAUUUUAUAAGAAGUUUGAUUGUUAGU
Molecule: ribosomal RNA, 1302 nt
Filed under: Poecilimon inflatus
Lineage: Eukaryota; Metazoa; Arthropoda; Insecta; Orthoptera; Tettigoniidae
Description: 16S ribosomal RNA
Rfam family: Bacterial large subunit ribosomal RNA (bases 846-1237)
Source: RNAcentral